AUGCUCACUUUUGGCAGCACAUAUACUAAAACUGGAGAUGAUGAGCUGAGAAGCAUAGCAUGGUUCUUGGUACAAGGAUGACAUUCACAAUCAUGAAGCUUUCCAUAUAUUU
Molecule: small nuclear RNA, 112 nt
Organism: Suncus etruscus (white-toothed pygmy shrew)
Lineage: Eukaryota; Metazoa; Chordata; Mammalia; Eulipotyphla; Soricidae
Source: RefSeq, a predicted model, not a curated record